AAUUCCUGCCUGUUGAGGGCGUAGCUUUCAGACGAUUAGUUACCAUGGGCUACACUACGAUUUGUGAAUUAUUAAUGCUGACGAAACGGCGAGUGAUUGAUUCUACUGAUGCAUCUCUUUAUGGCAGAAAAGCUCAACACUCUCAAGGACCAGCUCAGGGGACUGGAGGCAGUGAAAAAUCUUGCACCUUGACCGACAGAAUUAAGAGGGACUAGAAUGGGGAAGGACCUCUGCUGUAUCAGCUAACAGUAACACAUCAGCAGUACCUAAUGAAGGCAAUGGAUAAAAUCUACUCUGGAGAGUUGACAGAGGGAGCACAUGCUAAGUUGACUUUUUCCUACGGAUUUG
Molecule: non-coding RNA, 348 nt
Organism: Triticum urartu
Lineage: Eukaryota; Viridiplantae; Streptophyta; Magnoliopsida; Poales; Poaceae
Source: RefSeq, a predicted model, not a curated record